UGAAAGUUUGUGGCUCAACCAUAAAAUUGCCUUUGAUACUGCAUGUCUUGAGUCAUGGUGGGGUUGCCGGAACAUGUGGUGUAGCGGUGAAAUGCAUAGAUAUCACAUAGAACACCGAUCGCGAAGGCAGGUGACCAACCAUGUACUGACGCUGAUGGACGAAAGCGUGGGUAGCGAACGGGAUUAGAUACCCCGGUAGUCCACGCCGUAAACGAUGGAUACUAGCUGUGGGGA
RNAcentral lists this ribosomal RNA (234 nucleotides) under Chloropicon laureae. RNAcentral describes it as "partial Bacterial small subunit ribosomal RNA". It matches the Rfam family "Bacterial small subunit ribosomal RNA", at positions 595 to 828 of the family's 1533-position model. Lineage: Eukaryota; Viridiplantae; Chlorophyta; Chloropicophyceae; Chloropicales; Chloropicaceae. The record is from RNAcentral.